UUAGCCUUAAACCAGAAAAAAGACCCCUAGCCGUUUUCUCUCUACCCCUUUCAAGCUCCCCUUUUUGCAACCCUAACAAAAAAAAAAACGGUGACCGCCGUGGCCACCAUCACUUAUGGCACCGAUGAGGAAACCCAUGGGUACGAACUCACCUCUGCCUCUAGACCCGACUGAAAUCUGAUUCUAAAAUAACAAUCUAACCUUAAAACUAGACCACCUUUUGAAACCAUACUAACCGAACCCCUCAUCCACACAUCAUGAAUUAACCAUGACCCAAAAGCACGAAAAUCUUACCCUCAAAUGAUUCAAUGGUGUUUGGGCUUCAAGCGACGUUGAUGGUUCUUCUCCUCGGCUCAAGUAGUAUGGGCGGAACUCGAUCUACUCAAGGGUGACCGACAGGCGUGAGUGGCUGGUGCACUAUUUCGGGGCUCUGGACGUGUUGUGAGCCGUUGGAUCAUGAGGCCAGAUCCAACGACCAGAAUAGGGCUGCGUAUGGAAUAUUUAGGGUUUAAAAAACCCUAAAAUUACUAUCACUCUUCUUGAACCAUCAGAUGAGGGGCACUCAAUCCUGUGGUCUACAACGUGCGGCGUUGGGAACCUCUCUAUAGAAAACCCUAACGGGUUUAGGGUUCUUUUGCAAUUGGGCCUGUCUGGUCCAGCUUAUUUUAAGUUGAUGUAGGCCUAUACCAUUAAUAAUAAUAUUAGUGCAUUUUAAUUGUUUAUUUAA
This is a long non-coding RNA of Hibiscus syriacus, 727 nucleotides long. RefSeq lists it as uncharacterized. The transcript is spliced from 2 exons. NCBI's taxonomy places the organism in Eukaryota, Viridiplantae, Streptophyta, Magnoliopsida, Malvales, Malvaceae. The record is from RefSeq and is a predicted model, not a curated record.